UGAGCUUCAUUGCCUCACGCCAAGGGAA
RNAcentral lists this non-coding RNA (28 nucleotides) under Homo sapiens (human). Lineage: Eukaryota; Metazoa; Chordata; Mammalia; Primates; Hominidae. The record is from RNAcentral.